UUUAUGGAGAGUUUGAUCCUGGCUCAGGAUGAACGCUGGCGGCGUGCCUAAUACAUGCAAGUCGAGCGAACGGACGAGAAGCUUGCUUCUCUGAUGUUAGCGGCGGACGGGUGAGUAACACGUGGAUAACCUACCUAUAAGACUGGGAUAACUUCGGGAAACCGGAGCUAAUACCGGAUAAUAUUUUGAUCUGCAUGGUUCAAAAGUAAAAGACGGUCUUGCUGUCACUUAUAGAUGGAUCCGCGCUGCAUUAGCUAGUUGGUAAGGUAACGGCUUACCAAGGCAACGAUGCAUAGCCGACCUGAGAGGGUGAUCGGCCACACUGGAACUGAGACACGGUCCAGACUCCUACGGGAGGCAGCAGUAGGGAAUCUUCCGCAAUGGGCGAAAGCCUGACGGAGCAACGCCGCGUGAGUGAUGAAGGUCUUCGGAUCGUAAAACUCUGUUAUUAGGGAAGAACAUAUGUGUAAGUAACUGUGCACAUCUUGACGGUACCUAAUCAGAAAGCCACGGCUAACUACGUGCCAGCAGCCGCGGUAAUACGUAGGUGGCAAGCGUUAUCCGGAAUUAUUGGGCGUAAAGCGCGCGUAGGCGGUUUUUUAAGUCUGAUGUGAAAGCCCACGGCUCAACCGUGGAGGGUCAUUGGAAACUGGAAAACUUGAGUGCAGAAGAGGAAAGUGGAAUUCCAUGUGUAGCGGUGAAAUGCGCAGAGAUAUGGAGGAACACCAGUGGCGAAGGCGACUUUCUGGUCUGUAACUGACGCUGAUGUGCGAAAGCGUGGGGAUCAAACAGGAUUAGAUACCCUGGUAGUCCACGCCGUAAACGAUGAGUGCUAAGUGUUAGGGGGUUUCCGCCCCUUAGUGCUGCAGCUAACGCAUUAAGCACUCCGCCUGGGGAGUACGACCGCAAGGUUGAAACUCAAAGGAAUUGACGGGGACCCGCACAAGCGGUGGAGCAUGUGGUUUAAUUCGAAGCAACGCGAAGAACCUUACCAAAUCUUGACAUCCUUUGACAACUCUAGAGAUAGAGCCUUCCCCUUCGGGGGACAAAGUGACAGGUGGUGCAUGGUUGUCGUCAGCUCGUGUCGUGAGAUGUUGGGUUAAGUCCCGCAACGAGCGCAACCCUUAAGCUUAGUUGCCAUCAUUAAGUUGGGCACUCUAAGUUGACUGCCGGUGACAAACCGGAGGAAGGUGGGGAUGACGUCAAAUCAUCAUGCCCCUUAUGAUUUGGGCUACACACGUGCUACAAUGGACAAUACAAAGGGCAGCGAAACCGCGAGGUCAAGCAAAUCCCAUAAAGUUGUUCUCAGUUCGGAUUGUAGUCUGCAACUCGACUACAUGAAGCUGGAAUCGCUAGUAAUCGUAGAUCAGCAUGCUACGGUGAAUACGUUCCCGGGUCUUGUACACACCGCCCGUCACACCACGAGAGUUUGUAACACCCGAAGCCGGUGGAGUAACCUUUUAGGAGCUAGCCGUCGAAGGUGGGACAAAUGAUUGGGGUGAAGUCGUAACAAGGUAGCCGUAUCGGAAGGUGCGGCUGGAUCACCUCCUUU
RNAcentral lists this ribosomal RNA (1552 nucleotides) under Staphylococcus aureus. RNAcentral describes it as "16S ribosomal RNA". It matches the Rfam family "Bacterial small subunit ribosomal RNA". The record is from RNAcentral. Lineage: Bacteria; Bacillati; Bacillota; Bacilli; Caryophanales; Staphylococcaceae.